GCCCGGAUGGGACAGUGGUUACUCCGCAAGUUUGGAGAACUUGUUACGCGCAAGCGUUUCCCAGGUUCAAAUCCUGGUCCGGGCG
This 85-nucleotide transfer RNA is filed under the name Candidatus Pacearchaeota archaeon. RNAcentral describes it as "tRNA-Ser". It matches the Rfam family "tRNA". From Rfam's summary of the family: Transfer RNA (tRNA) molecules are approximately 80 nucleotides in length. Their secondary structure includes four short double-helical elements and three loops (D, anti-codon, and T loops). Further hydrogen bonds mediate the characteristic L-shaped molecular structure. tRNAs have two regions of fundamental functional importance: the anti-codon, which is responsible for specific mRNA codon recognition, and the 3' end, to which the tRNAs corresponding amino acid is attached (by aminoacyl-tRNA synthetases). tRNAs cope with the degeneracy of the genetic code in two manners: having more than one tRNA (with a specific anti-codon) for a particular amino acid; and 'wobble' base-pairing, i.e. permitting non-standard base-pairing at the 3rd anti-codon position. The record is from RNAcentral. Lineage: Archaea; Nanobdellati.